CGGGACUGACGGGACUCGAACCCGCAACUUCC
This 32-nucleotide transfer RNA is filed under the name Pinus contorta (lodgepole pine). RNAcentral describes it as "partial tRNA-Asp". RNAcentral also lists the same sequence under 4 other names. Lineage: Eukaryota; Viridiplantae; Streptophyta; Pinopsida; Pinales; Pinaceae. The record is from RNAcentral.